Molecule: ribosomal RNA, 436 nt
Filed under: uncultured bacterium
Lineage: Bacteria
Description: partial 16S ribosomal RNA
Rfam family: Bacterial small subunit ribosomal RNA
Source: RNAcentral
GCGAACGCUGGCGGCAGGCUUAACACAUGCAAGUCGAGCGGGCAUCCUUGUGGUGUCAGCGGCAGACGGGUGAGUAACGCGUGGGAACGUGCCCUUCGGUUCGGAAUAACUCAGGGAAACUUGAGCUAAUACCGGAUACGUGCGAAAGCAGAAAGGUUUAUCUGCCGAAGGAUCGGCCCGCGUCUGAUUAGCUAGUUGGUGAGGUUACGGCUCACCAAGGCGACGAUCAGUAGCUGGUCUGAGAGGAUGAUCAGCCACACUGGGACUGAGACACGGCCCAGACUCCUACGGGAGGCAGCAGUGGGGAAUAUUGGACAAUGGGGGCAACCCUGAUCCAGCCAUGCCGCGUGAGUGAUGACGGCCUUAGGGUUGUAAAGCUCUUUUCUCCGGGACGAUAAUGACGGUACCGGAGGAAUAAGCCCCGGCUAACUUCGUG